Molecule: long non-coding RNA, 5819 nt
Filed under: Homo sapiens (human)
Lineage: Eukaryota; Metazoa; Chordata; Mammalia; Primates; Hominidae
Description: non-protein coding lnc-HDDC2-10:1
Source: RNAcentral
UUUGUGCAUAUAUUUAGGCAUUUAUAAUUUUAACUUUCCCUUUCAACAACAAGUGAAACAGAGGAUCAUUUAAAAAGACUUAGGCCUUCACAGCACUUCACUAGAAGCCUUGUUCUUCUCCCAGUGAUACUAUCCCAACUUAGAACACUUCUGUACCUACCUUUGGAGGCAAUUUCCUAGGCAGGGAAGAAAGUCAUUCUCGUUAAUAGGACAGAGUUCAGUAAAUUAUUUGGUCCAUGGGCCACAUCUAACCUGCUGCCUGUUUGGUACAGCCUACGACCUGUGAAUGAUUUCUACCUUUCUAAAUGGUUAAAUAGAAAAAUGAAAAGAAUAGUAAUAAUUGAUAACAUGAAAAUUAUAUCAAAUUUAAGUGAAUGAAAUUCUAAAAGGCAAAUAUCAAGAGAUGAAUCUAAAGAAUCGUAUAAAAAACGUCCAAAUUAUGAAUGUGCAUACAUGCUAGUAGACUAAUAUCUAUAUUCGGCAAAACCUGUAUGUGUGAAAAGAUGUUUUAAAUAAGACUUAAUAAAUGUUAUGGGCCCACUCAUAAGAUAAAAAUUGAUUUUACAUAAAAUUUCUGAGCAUUUAUGACCCUUCUGAAGACAAUAAAUAAAUAAAUAGACUCUCAAGUUAAGAACCUCUAUUUGUGGUUGAGGGGGGAGCGUUGAAGAAGAAAUAUAUAGAAAGCUUUUCCUUAAAACAAAUUACUCUAUGAAGUGAUCCUUUUACUGUGACACCUAUAUGUGCUUCUUCCCUUUUCUUUCCCUUUCAUGAACCAGCAGCAAACCUGCUAGCCAAGGAAAGAUGAAUGAUCUCACCAGGAAGUGAGUAAAUUACUUUCACAUACCAUAAAGUCAUCAACUUUUGACAUAUUUUACUUUAUAAAUGUAUCAAUUAUAUACCAAAGAUGACUUGAGAAACCAGUGAGCUACACCUGAGGCCAGAUACAUUGGCUCACACCUGUAAUCCCAGCACUUUGGGAGGCCCAGGCAGGUGGAUCACUUGAGGCCAGGAGUUCAAAACCAGCCUGGUCAACAAACAUCAAAUUAUCACAUACCAUAUAAUUAAUAAAAAGAGGUAAAUACAGUGGUGGCAGAGUGAAAAGGACUCUAAGAACCUUAACAGCAGGACUAACUCAGGUGGUCCCACACGUACACACGCGCGCAGGCACCCGCGCACACACACACGCACACCCUGAGUGGGUGUCUUAUAUGUGGAGGAAGAGAAUUUGGAAUCAUGAAAGGAAGAGUUCAUCAGGUGGAAAAGAGAGGAAUACAAUCAUUUCACUUUCUUUUUCCACCUAAAUCCCCUAAGGAAAAAUCCAAAUAGCCAACUUGUAUGAGAUAAAGUUAAAAAUAAAACAAAACAGUAUAAUUUGUUUAAAUUUUAAAAGUAAUGAAAACCCAAAUGCUUAGAACACAAAGGAAACCAAGAAGAGGGAAGAAGAGGAGAAAAGGAGGAAGGAAAUAAGGGAAGGAAGGAGAGAGAGGAGAAGGGAGGAAGGCAGGCGGGCAGGCAGGAAGGAAAAAAGGUCUUCACUUGAACUUAUUACCCAAAAUAACUACUUUAACACAUUGGUAUAUUUCUUUCUAGUGUUUGCAUUUGUGUGUAUAAAAUAUAUAUUAAUAAGUGGCACUAUUGCCAAAAUAAAAUAAUAAUACUCCUUUCCUGCUUUUGUUAAUUAGUAAUGUAUCCUCAACAUUUUUCAUGCAACUAAUGCAUCUUUACAUUAUCAUGAUUCGCAGCCAUACAGUAUUUUACUAUAUAGUGAUGUCAUAAUUUAUUUAACUAAUUCCAUUAUAUUAAAAAUAUAUCAUUCAUGAUUUCAAUAAAAUAUAUAAAAUAUAUGUUAAUAUAUCAUAUAUAAUGAAUAUAUUUUAUUAACAUAUAACAUGAUUUUUAUAUGCAUUCCUAAUAUGUCACAGGAUGAAGUCCUAAGAAUUAAAUUGAUGCAGAAAGGGUGGAUGUAUUUUCAAGGCUUUUGGCACACAUUAUCACAGAAACUUAUCACCAAUUUAUAAUCUCAUCAGAUAGUGUGAAUGUGACAGAAUCUAAUUCCUUAAUCAUUCUAAAGAGAUUUUUUAGAAUUAAAAAAAACUAUAUAUAACAUCACACUUUGAAAUUAAUGGGCAUAUUCUUUUAAAUGAAAAGGGCAAAAUUAAAUAUUAACUGUUAAUCCCCUUCUGUACCUACAAAUUUGCAUUACAUGCUAUAGUUUUCUUUCUCAGGUGAGGGUUCUGACAGUUUCCCUUCCUCAUCUUUUUUGAAUUUUCUCGUUACUUCUUCCAAUGGCAAGAGUGUUCUAAUAAAUUAAACUUGGUCAUAGUUAAUAUUUCUUAAUUUUUGAUGCUAAUUCCUAUUUCUGCUUUUAUAAUGAACAAGAAAGAGAAAGUUGUUGUUGUUUUUUGAGUGAAAUCUUCAUCUCAAUGAACAGAGAAAUAAGCUUGGUGUUAAAAGCUACUAUUUGCAUGCACAUCCAAGACAGAGUAAGGUAAGCAAGUCUUCCUUUUUUGUGUUACAAUUGAAUUUAACAAACAUUUCCUGGAUGUCUGUUAGAUCCUGCGUCAAGCUCUGGAAAAUUUGGUUUACUAACUUGUUUAAUAGAGAAAAUAAUCCUUUCUCCAGAUUUCCCUUUAUUAUUAACUUUAUAACAUCUAUGAAACACUUCAAACUUUCCAGAGCAGAUUUUACCUGUAUAUGGAAGGCCAGUUCCUGGCAUUCUGCACAUAUUUCGAUCCCAAAAAAGCAUUUUUAAAGGAAAGAAACAAUAUAAUAAUUCUACUCUGUAGUAACUUAAAGCAUCAUGUGGAACUGAACUUUCCAAACUAUGGGUUGAGGUGUUCUGAAGCACUGCAGCAAACCCAUAGGAUCACAUGGAACAUUAAAAAUUCUUGAGGGAAUCACAGCAUUACCUAUCAACACAUGCAAAUGCUACUGUUAAGUUGUUUGGACCCAAUUACUAUUAGGAAUUUCUUUUGGCCUAAAAGGCACCAUGAAAAAUAAUAGAAGAGCACCAUAAAUCAAGACAGUUUGGAACCUUGGGUUGGACACUUCAGGUACAGGGUAGAAACAACAGGAUGGGGACCCUAUUCUCUAGAAAUUUAUAUUUUAAAUUUACAAGGCACACUUGUAUAGUAAAGGAUCAACCUUGCCUAAAGAAAGGUUUGCCUCUUGCCUUCAGCUCCUGAGAGGUAACCUCAAAGCUUUUGGAAUGGCCAGCCAGAGGAGUGUCUUUAUUUGACUUGGGGUCCUUGAGCCAUGCCACAUAGUCUGUGCUAACAAUGUGAUUUAUGUUGGGGGCCUUGAGUCAGGCAGUAUAGGCUUGACCUCUGGAGGUGCUAGAAACUAAGGUCAGCUAUGUGGGUGGUUAUCCCCCAAUAAAAACCCCAGACACCAAGGCUCAGGUGAGUUUCCUGGUUGGUAAUACUCAAUGCACAAAGUCACACAUUAUUGCUAGGAGAAAUAAGCAUUGUUUGCACAACUCCACCAGGAAAAGACCACUGGUAACUCUGUCUGGUCUCUCCUGGACCAUGCUUUAUGUGCCUUUUCUUGGUGUUGAUUUUAAUCUGUGUCCUUUCACUGUAAUAAACUAUAAUUGUGGGUAAACAGCUUUGCUGAAUUCUGUGAGUCCUUCUAUAGCAGUAUUGAACCUGAGAGUAGUCUUGGAAGCUCCUGACUGCCACUGACUAACCACUACAUCGUUAACUUUUAUAGGUUUUCAUUUGUGAUUUUUUUCCCCAGUAGAAAGAUGUCAUUGAGAAGAUAUAGCAUCCACUAAUGUAAGAACAAGUUUAAUAUAAAAAAUAGCCAAUCUUGCCACACAAGAAAGUUCAUUUUAUCGGGUAAUAUAGAUAAGAAACCUGCCAUUUUUAUUUAUGAGCUAUAUGAAAUUGGUUUUGACAUUUUGCAUGACAAAAUCAACAAGAGUAUUAAAUGAUUCUGAAAGUUUUGAAACUGACAGCUUAAGUGAUACAGUAGUAUUUAUUUUAAAAUAUGGCAAAUAAUUUUAUCUAUUUAUGUUUUAAGAUACUGCUACCAAGUUGGAAUGGGAGAACCCAGCUGCCAUCCUUUGCAGAAUGUUAAAUACCACAAGCUGUUUUACAAACAUUGUGUUAUCAGUAAAACUCAAAAUAUUUUCCCAAAUACUUUCUAAAAAUUUCCCAACAUGCAAGUAUUUUAAAAAGCUUUUUACUUACAUAUUCCUAACUCGUUUACAUAUUAUUUUUUCUUAGCUUUGUAAGACUUUGGAGCUUCUAUUAAGAGCUUUAUGACAAUGAUGUUUGUUCCAUAUUUGUAUGGGAAAGAUACCAGACCAUACAAGUAAAUAUCUUUAUCCUAGUUCUAUAGUUCCAUUAAUUGUCCAUUUGCCUGCACUUUUUUGGGCCUCAUGUUUUACUUCUAUAAAUUGGGCAGAUUGAACUGAAUGACUCUAGGCUUCAUCUCAAUACAAAAUUAUCAUUUCAACUUAAUGUAUAUGAAUCACUACUUGUGUACAUUGUUGUGGUACACAUAGGGCCUAUAAAUGGUCAAUUCAAGCCCUGAGGAAUCUUGCAAUUACAUAAAGAAGACAGAUCCUUCACUAUAAUAUCAGAGAGAUUUUGGUGGAUACAAUUAGAGAACUGUAAACUCAGGACUCUGGGAGUUGCAAUGCAGGGGUCAUUUCUUCCUAGGGGGAUCUUAGAAUGCUUCAUGGAGGGCCUGGAAGAUGAGUUAGAUUUUUACAGAUGGAGAAGGUGGAAAAUACAGUAAGUAUUUUAGAAGAUGGACUAUAUAAGCUAUCUACAUGAUAGCAGAACAUGUAGAGUGCCUUGAGUGGCACUGGUCCUUGAUGUCUUGAUUGUACGAAUUGUCCUGUAUGUCUGAUUGUAUGUUAUUUGUUAAGAAAGAACAAGAGAUGAGGCAGGAAAGAUAAGCUGACGCAAAGUUUUUUAGGGACUGUAUUAGUCCAUUCUUAUGCUGCUAAUAAAGAUAUACCCUAGAGUAAUUCAUAAAGGAUAGAGGUUUCAUUGACUCAUAAUUCUGCAUGGCUGGGGAGGCCUCAAUAAACUUAAAAUCAUGGCAGAAGGGGAAGCAAAUGCACCCUUCUUCACAUGGCAGUAGCAAGGAGAGGAAUGAGAGCAAAGUCAGGGGAAAGCCCCUUAUAAAACCAUCAGAUAUCAUGGGAACUCAUUCACUAUCACUAGAACAGCACGGAGGUAACCUCCUCCAUGAUUCAAUCACCUCCCACUGGGUCCCUCCCACAACACAUUAUGGGAACUACAAUUCCAGAUGAGAUUUGAGUGGGGCACAGCCAAACCAUUCAGGGACUUUGUGCAAGAUAGUUCUAUUUUCUUCUAGAUUCUCUUUCUUCUCUUGUCCUCCCUCUGUGCCACUGGAGGCUGAUCCACAGAGGCACACAUCAAUGGCUUCAAUUACCCUCUGUCUUUCAAUUUAGUUCAACGAAUGAAAGGUAACUGCAGGUAAUCAGAGGGCUGAGGAUGUUUAUUUUUUCAGCUCUCAAUCUGCCAUUUACCUGUAUGCUGUAUUGAAGGCCAUAGGUGCUACCAUAUCUGGGUUCUAAAAGUUUCUCCCUUUGGGCCAAAGGGAGUUGUAUUAGUUUCCUAGGACUGCUGUAACAAAGUACCAUACACUGGAUACAUUAAAACAACAAAAAUUUAUUUUCUCAUAGUUCUGAAAUCAAGUCGUUGACAGGGCCAGGCUCCCUCUGAAACCUGUAGGGAAUAGCCCUUCCUUGCCUCUUCUAGCUGUUGGUGCUUGCUAACAAUCCUCGGUGUACCUCAGCUGGUGGCUGCAUCACUCUAAUCCCCACCAUCUUCUCCCAA